CUAUUUUAAUAUAUUGUGUGUGAUUUUAAAACAAAAUUUGAAUUCUAGUAAGUGUUGGCUCCGAUGUUGGUGCCAGUUAGCACUGUUAAAUGGAUUUUAAGAGUGCUAGCCUCUCAGGCUGACUCCCUGUAUGCCAGGGCACUGGUGGCUGCCAUGACAGCUGUAUGCCGGUGUCCGUAAGGUGUCGUGCCUGGCGUAAGAAGCGGAUUCUCCCUCUCGUUCCGGGCCGUGAUUAGCUCUGCCGCUUACCUCUUCGCGCUGUGUUAGCGCUGCUAUUUUAGCCUGCUGUGUGGACGGGUCGCCAUUAUUAAAGGGUGCUGCUGGUGUCUGGUCAAUCUUUUAACAUCGCAACGUAGUGCUCAAGUUCAUAUUUAUGUGUUGGGGACAUGAACAUUUUAUGUUUUAAAUAUUAAACAAUGCUCUGUAUGAGCUCUGUGAUUUU
Molecule: non-coding RNA, 442 nt
Organism: Misgurnus anguillicaudatus (oriental weatherfish)
Lineage: Eukaryota; Metazoa; Chordata; Actinopteri; Cypriniformes; Cobitidae
Source: RefSeq, a predicted model, not a curated record